Molecule: ribosomal RNA, 478 nt
Filed under: uncultured organism
Description: partial 16S ribosomal RNA
Rfam family: Bacterial small subunit ribosomal RNA
Source: RNAcentral
GUACACUCCUGCGGGAGGCAGCAGUGGGGAAUUUUGGACAAUGGGCGAAAGCCUGAUCCAGCAAUGCCGCGUGAGUGAAGAAGGCCUUCGGGUUGUAAAGCUCUUUUGUCAGGGAAGAAACGGUGAAAGCUAAUAUCUUUUGCUAAUGACGGUACCUGAAGAAUAAGCACCGGCUAACUACGUGCCAGCAGCCGCGGUAAUACGUAGGGUGCAAGCGUUAAUCGGAAUUACUGGGCGUAAAGCGUGCGCAGGCGGUUUUGUAAGUCUGAUGUGAAAUCCCCGGGCUCAACCUGGGAAGUGCAUUGGAGACUGCAAGGCUAGAAUCUGGCAGAGGGGGGUAGAAUUCCACGUGUAGCAGUGAAAUGCGUAGAUAUGUGGAGGAACACCGAUGGCGAAGGCAGCCCCCUGGGUCAAGAUUGACGCUCAUGCACGAAAGCGUGGGGAGCAAACAGGAUUAGAAACCCUGGUAGUCCCAUGA